AUUGAACGCUGGCGGCAGGCCUAACACAUGCAAGUCGAGCGGUAGCACAGGGAGCUUGCUCCUGGGUGACGAGCGGCGGACGGGUGAGUAAUGUCUGGGAAACUGCCUGAUGGAGGGGGAUAACUACUGGAAACGGUAGCUAAUACCGCAUAACGUCGCAAGACCAAAGAGGGGGACCUUCGGGCCUCUUGCCAUCAGAUGUGCCCAGAUGGGAUUAGCUAGUAGGUGGGGUAAUGGCUCACCUAGGCGACGAUCCCUAGCUGGUCUGAGAGGAUGACCAGCCACACUGGACCUGGGACACGGUCCAGACUCCUACGGGAGGCAUCAGUGGGGAAUAUUGCACAAUGGGCGCAAGCCUGAUGCAGCCACGCCGCGUGUAUGAAGAAGGCCUUCGGGUUGUAAAGUACUUUCAGCGGGGAGGAAGGUGUUGAGGUUAAUAACCUCAGCAAUUGACGUUACCCGCAGAAGAAGCACCGGCUAACUCCGUGCCAGCCGCCGCCGUAA
Molecule: ribosomal RNA, 504 nt
Filed under: uncultured bacterium
Lineage: Bacteria
Description: partial 16S ribosomal RNA
Rfam family: Bacterial small subunit ribosomal RNA
Source: RNAcentral